GAUUUCUGGCACGACGUACCUGUCCCGCUGCGGUCAACGCAUGUGAGUGACGGAGUAUGUUUGCCAUCCUUCUAGAGAGCGCAAGCUAUCCUUUACUGGACCGGCUUGUGUCAUCUAGAUCUUUUACUUUGAAAAAAUUAGAGUGUUUCAAGCAGGCGUUUUGCUAUGAAUACAUUAGCAUGGAAUAAUGAGUUAGGACUUCGGUUCUAUUUUGUUGGUUUCUAGGACUGAAGUAAUGAUUGAUAGGGAUAGUUGGGGGUGCUAGUAUUCAGCGGCCAGAGGUGAAAUUCUUGGAUUCGCUGAAGACUAACUUAUGCGAAAGCAUU
RNAcentral lists this ribosomal RNA (326 nucleotides) under uncultured Cercozoa. RNAcentral's name for it is "SSU rRNA". The stretch from base 56 to 326 matches the Rfam family "Eukaryotic small subunit ribosomal RNA", at positions 684 to 955 of the family's 1831-position model. Lineage: Eukaryota; Cercozoa. The record is from RNAcentral.